This 402-nucleotide ribosomal RNA is filed under the name uncultured bacterium. Its description in RNAcentral is "bacterial SSU rRNA". It matches the Rfam family "Bacterial small subunit ribosomal RNA", at positions 356 to 773 of the family's 1533-position model. The record is from RNAcentral.
GGGGAAUAUUGCACAAUGGGCGAAAGCCUGAUGCAGCAACGCCGCGUGAGCGAAGAAGGCCUUUGGGUCGUAAAGCUCUGUCGAAAGGGAAGAAACAAAUGACGGUACCUUUCGAGGAAGCCCCGGCUAACUACGUGCCAGCAGCCGCGGUAAUACGUAGGGGGCAAGCGUUAUCCGGAAUUAUUGGGCGUAAAGAGUGCGUAGGUGGUCUUGUAAGCGUGGGGUGAAAGGCAGUGGCUUAACCAUUGUAAGCCCUGCGAACUGUGAGACUUGAGUGCAGGAGAGGAAAGCGGAAUUCCUAGUGUAGCGGUGAAAUGCGUAGAUAUUAGGAGGAACACCAGUGGCGAAGGCGGCUUUCUGGACUGUAACUGACACUGAGGCACGAAAGCGUGGGGAGCAAAC